This 254-nucleotide ribosomal RNA is filed under the name uncultured bacterium. RNAcentral describes it as "partial 16S ribosomal RNA". It matches the Rfam family "Bacterial small subunit ribosomal RNA", at positions 524 to 776 of the family's 1533-position model. The record is from RNAcentral.
UACGUAGGGUGCGAGCGUUAAUCGGAAUUACUGGGCGUAAAGCGUGCGCAGGCGGUGAUGUAAGACAGUUGUGAAAUCCCCGGGCUCAACCUGGGAAUUGCAUCUGUGACUGCAUCGCUAGAGUACGGUAGAGGGGGAUGGAAUUCCGCGUGUAGCAGUGAAAUGCGUAGAUAUGCGGAGGAACACCGAUGGCGAAGGCAAUCCCCCUGGACCUGUACUGACGCUCAUGCACGAAAGCGUGGGGAGCAAACAGG